AUGAAGGGAAACGAAGUGACCAUCAGUG
Molecule: non-coding RNA, 28 nt
Filed under: Mus musculus (house mouse)
Lineage: Eukaryota; Metazoa; Chordata; Mammalia; Rodentia; Muridae
Source: RNAcentral